RNAcentral lists this ribosomal RNA (326 nucleotides) under uncultured eukaryote. Its description in RNAcentral is "partial 18S ribosomal RNA". It matches the Rfam family "Eukaryotic small subunit ribosomal RNA", at positions 1470 to 1796 of the family's 1831-position model. The record is from RNAcentral.
CCCUUAGAUGUCCUGGGCUGCACGCGCGCUACACUGAUGCACUCAACGAGUUUACGACCUUGCCCGAUAGGGUUGGGUAAUCUUUUUAAAAUGCAUCGUGAUGGGGAUAGAUUAUUGCAAUUAUUAAUCUUCAACGAGGAAUUCCUAGUAAGCGCGAGUCAUCAGCUCGUGCUGAUUACGUCCCUGCCCUUUGUACACACCGCCCGUCGCUCCUACCGAUUGAGUGCUCAGGUGAAUAAUUCGGACUGCAGCAAUGUUUGGAUCCCGAACGUUGCAGCGGAAAGUUUAGUGAACCUUAUCACUUAGAGGAAGGAGAAGUCGUAACA